AGCAGCAGCCCCGCGCCCGCAGCCACAGACAACAAUGGGGCGUGCUAAGAGGACUAGGAGGUCAAGCCGCCGUGCUCUCUUCCCCGAUCCCCUUCCGAUUUGUGCAGCACACAUUUGAGUUCUUACCGUUUCGGCUCCCUUCACUGCGUUUCCCCCGCUUUUUUCGAGAGCCUUAGAAGAACAGGAGACAGGAGGAAAAAGAUUUACGGUGUUGAGUGAGUCUACUCUUCACCAUUCCGAUGACGCGCUUCGCCAUCUGUUUACGUCUUCGCCUUCUACGUAAUCGCUCUUAUCACAUCAGCUCUCGACGAAUCGAGGCACUGCAGGUGCUCGACCCCCCCCCCCCCCCCCCCCCCCGCGCCCUUUUCCGCUCCUUUGAGCGCUCACCACUACUAGGGAUGCUUGGGUGACCCAAGAAAAAAAGUCACAUACUCCUUCCUGUUCGUGCGAUCCAUUACCGGAUAAUGACAUCGAAACAGCAGAAUUUUCACUGAUGCCUUUGCCACGACUAGAGGCAUCGAUGGGCGAACGGAGGGGGCACCAGAUCAGCAUACGCUUCCCGGUAAAUAGGACGCUGGCCAGCUCGGGAAGGGUUGGUUGUAGGUGUCGGAAUGCAUCAUGCCCAUCUUUUCACAUGACUUUCUCUCUCUCCAUUUACUUUGUUGUCACCUUCGGCUCCCCCACCGAUGAGCACACCGAACAAG
Molecule: unclassified non-coding RNA, 704 nt
Filed under: Leishmania donovani
Lineage: Eukaryota; Euglenozoa; Kinetoplastea; Trypanosomatida; Trypanosomatidae
Description: gene:unknown
Source: RNAcentral